RNAcentral lists this ribosomal RNA (253 nucleotides) under uncultured bacterium. Its description in RNAcentral is "partial 16S ribosomal RNA". It matches the Rfam family "Bacterial small subunit ribosomal RNA", at positions 524 to 776 of the family's 1533-position model. The record is from RNAcentral.
UACGAAGGGGGCAAGCGUUGUUCGGAUUUACUGGGCGUAAAGCGUACGUAGGCGGACGAUUAAGUCAGGGGUGAAAUCCCGGGGCUCAACCUCGGAACUGCCUUUGAUACUGGUCGUCUUGAGUCCGGGAGAGGUGAGUGGAACUCCUAGUGUAGAGGUGAAAUUCGUAGAUAUUAGGAAGAACACCAGUGGCGAAGGCGGCUCACUGGCCCGGAACUGACGCUGAGGUACGAAAGCGUGGGGAGCAAACAGG